Molecule: long non-coding RNA, 352 nt
Organism: Rattus rattus (black rat)
Lineage: Eukaryota; Metazoa; Chordata; Mammalia; Rodentia; Muridae
Exons: 2
Source: RefSeq, a predicted model, not a curated record
CCUAACUGGCCAGAAGACUUCAUGAAGAGAACGCCCCACGGGGGCUGAUGCUUCUUGAAGGAAAGGAGGCGUCCUUUGGAACAGCAGCUGGAGUCACGUGGCUUCUUGUGUCUUGUGUCCAAGAAUGGCAGAGAACAUGAACAAUAAGAGAAAAUAAACCCAUUACUCUAUUGAAGGAGAGAGCCACCAUCCUAUAUAUCUUGAUGGAACAUCUGCAUUUUUUUUUAUCUGUGUAUUGUAUUUGGUAGUUUACUAAAAUCGAUACCAUGCUGUUGAUAUGUUUUUGCCUUUCACUAUCUAUGUAAGAUUGUAAUACAUGUGUUUUCCUAGACCACAUAAAUGUUCUACUGAA